GAGAAAAGGGAGGGGGACGGAAGAGGAAGGAGGACUGAGCCCGGGAGAGAGAGGGGAGGGGUCGGCGCGCGACCGGGUCAUGCAGGUGCAGACUGGCCGGUCGCUUCCCGCCCUCCAGCCACCCGCAGCUCCCCGGCAGGCGAAGGGCGGCCGCGCGGGUGUGGGCCGAGAGAGGGAGGCGGCUCGGCUGGAGCGCGCCGUCCGCCCGACCCCCGCCGCCUCUCGGGCGCCUGCGCUCACGCUGCGGGGCCCAGCGCAUUGUGAGCCGGGUCGAGCUCCACGCUGGCAGCGUCUGAGAGCUGUCCUGGGCCGGAGGUGGCGCGAACCCUGUGCGGCCUAGAGUGGGCCUGGGGAAGCCAGCUGCCAUGUUCUGAGUACUCUCUGGAAGGGCCUGCAUGGCAAGGAACUGAUGUUUCCAGCCAGCAGCCAGCAAGAACUGCAAGCCUUGUGAAUGAGCUUGGAAGCAGAUCCUCCCCUCACUCAAGCCAUGAUAUGACAACAGCCUGAGACCCAGAGUUCUGCAUGGCUGGAGAGGCCUCAGGAAACUUACAAUCAUCUUGGAAGGAAAAGGGGAAGCAGGGCGCAUCUUACAUGGCAGCAGGCAAGAAGAAGAGAAAGGGGGUGAACUCACCAGCCAGGGGAAUACCCCAGAAAGAGCUGCCAGUAGGAGGAGGGCCAGCCUCACUGGUGAUUGGAGUCCAGCAGUCCCACUGAUUGGGAGUGCUGAGCCAAGCCCAUGUCGUGCUUCGCUGAUGCAUGGCUGGGCUGAAGAAAGAGCUCUUUGAAUUUUUCAUAGAAAAGACUGGUGCCCAAAAGGCCAGGGCUCGAGAAUGAGGCUGCCUCAAGCACAGUGCUUGGCAGGACACCAGGGCUGAAAGGUACAGCAAAGUCCUCCCAGAAUCGCUUGUCAGAGCAGGGAUUUGCAUCACAGACUGGCCACUGCAAAGACAGAUGGGAACUCACAGGUUUUGUGUGUGUGUUUGUGGUUCACUGCUGAUGGACGCAUGUCAGAAGCCACCUGAGCCUUGGCCCAGCCUUCAUGUGGAGUGAAAACCCAGACCUGUGUGAGCAGCAGGUACUUGAAGCAAGAGAAGCAAGGCCGAGCCUCCAGGGCUUUGUCAGAGGCUCCUUCCUUCCUGGAAUCCAAUUGUACAACCAGGAGCCAGAGGUCUUGGUGGCCGGAUGUGGGUCUAAUCCUGGUUCCAUGGCCUCCCAACUGAGUGAAUGAGAUUAUAAUGAUAAAAUAUAAUUUACUGUGUACCCGGCACUGCCCUAAGCACUUUGUGUUUCUUAUCUCAUUUACUCUUCACAGAAACUCUUGGUACUAUUACUAUACUUGAUUUCUAGAGAAGAAAACUGCGGCACAGGAUAGAGUUGGUUUGCCAAGGUCAGGACAUACACCUCACUGUGUGAGGUUAGAAACUGAGCACUGGACCCCCAUCCUACGCUGCCUGUUUCAUGAAUUGUAAAAGGGGGGAUAAAUGUAGCACCUCCUCCCUAGGUUGUUGUGAUAUUCAAGUGGGAUAAUCCAUUUACAGCAUGGGCAUGGUGGCUGCCUGUGAAACAGUGGGAGCUACUGUCAGUUUGAUUAGUUCUGGCCUCUCUGCAGCCUUGCUACUCUCUGUUUAUUCUCAGCAGCCUUCAGACAAUUUUCUUUUCUUUUCUCUUUCUUUUCUUUUCUUUUUUUUUUUUUUUUUUUGGAGACGGGAGCCUCAUUCUGUCACCCAGGCUGGAGUGCAGUGGCGCAAUCCCGGUUCACCGCAACCUCUGCUUCCCUGUUCAAGCAGUUCUCUUGCCUCAGCUUCCUGAGUAGCUGGGAUUACAGGUGCAUGUGCCACCACACCUGGCUAAUUUUUGUAUUUUUAGUAGAGACUGGGUUUCACCAUGUUGGCCAGGCUGGUCUCGAACUUCUGACCUCAAGUGAUCCACCCUCAUGGCCUCCCAAAGUGCUGGGAUUAUAGGCGUGAGCCACCACGUGCAGCCUAUUAAGACAAUUUUCUGUUUGAACUUCACAGGACUUUCAGCUUCUUGGGUUGGGACACAUUGUCUAUUUGUUGCGUGUGUGGAGAACAGUGGACAGCAAAGAUCAAAACCCUUAGGGGAGAGGGGCAAGAGAGAGGAUAUGAGUGGGGAUUCUCUGCUCCCCUGAACAGUAUUCCAGGAUUCCUUCACCAAUUGAAGUUCAAGUUUGGUCCUCUGAGCAAAAAGUUUAGAGAAGUUCCUUUAUGCGUUUAUUUAAAUUUAGAAUAAACAUCUCUGUAGCAAUAACAACAAAGUGAACACUCCCGGUUUUGUUCUUUUCUUAUUUUUUUUGUUUUGUGGCUCUCAUGCACACAUGGAAAAACAACACAAAACAAAACCAGAUGAACUGAAACCGUUUCUCUAUCCAAGGCUCCCAUAUGUAAGAAAAGGAAAGAUUUUUUCCUUCUUGGGCAGGGUUAGAUGGUGUUGGUCGGGGGGAGUUGGGAGGGAAUGGUUCCACCAUCCUGUUCCAAAGCUCCAAUUCC
This 2507-nucleotide long non-coding RNA is filed under the name Homo sapiens (human). RNAcentral's name for it is "HSALNT0348860". The record is from RNAcentral. Lineage: Eukaryota; Metazoa; Chordata; Mammalia; Primates; Hominidae.